This 389-nucleotide unclassified non-coding RNA is filed under the name Xanthomonas citri pv. viticola. RNAcentral describes it as "partial 16S-23S ribosomal RNA intergenic spacer". The stretch from base 1 to 73 matches the Rfam family "tRNA". Lineage: Bacteria; Pseudomonadati; Pseudomonadota; Gammaproteobacteria; Lysobacterales; Lysobacteraceae. The record is from RNAcentral.
GGGGCCUUAGCUCAGCUGGGAGAGCACCUGCUUUGCAAGCAGGGGGUCGUCGGUUCGAUCCCGACAGGCUCCACCAUUUGAGUGAAACGACUUUGGGUCUGUAGCUCAGGUGGUUAGAGCGCACCCCUGAUAAGGGUGAGGUUCGGGUUUGGUUUGCGAAGUCCUACCCCAGAAUCACCACCCACUUCUUGAAUUGUAAGGUGCACACAUUUAAGAAUUUUAUAUUGGAUUCCAGCCGUUGGAAGGCUUGAGACAAUGUUCUUUUUAUAACUUGUUGGACGGAGCGAGCGUUUUGAGAUAUCUAUUCUAAACGUGUCCGUUGGAGGCUAAGGCGGGGACCUUCGAGUCCCCUAAAUAAUUGAGUCGUAUGUUCCGCGUUGGUGGCUUUG